Mercenaria mercenaria is the source of this 4679-nucleotide long non-coding RNA. RefSeq lists it as uncharacterized. NCBI's taxonomy places the organism in Eukaryota, Metazoa, Mollusca, Bivalvia, Venerida, Veneridae. The transcript has 7 exons. The record is from RefSeq and is a predicted model, not a curated record.
CUUGUUUCUGAUCAGUGAUGAAAGUUUCACGAAGAGGUGGCUGUGCUUCUGGAAUUAAGUGUUACAUAUGUUAGGAGAUGUAUUCAAAUCGAAUUUAUUUUUCAGUGCAGAUUUAGUAUACAUAUAUAUGGUGAAUUAAUAUAAUUAUUAGUGGUUUUCAGAAAUGCUUCAGCUGUUGCCAAUCCGAAGAUAUGCAGAUUAUAUUUUGACAGAAAAAAGACCCAGUCAAUUCCUCUCAUAAAGGGCGAACUUCAAGAACAACAUGGCUUCUGCAUCAAGAACCGACUGGAGGCAAAAAUAAAAACGACCCAGAAAACUUCAGUAAGUUACAAGAUGAAGACAAGCAUGGAAGUAUCAUGUUAUUGAUGUUGUUUUCUACUGUGCAAUUUGGAAGUGAAUGCUGGCACUUAGAUGGUGUAAUUAUGAAAGUAAAGUUAGUUUCAAAACAAAUCAUAAGGUGCACACGAUUUCACAUAUUUCAGGGGUGAUAAACAACAAUAAAUAUUCAGCAAAAGCGAUAGUUUCUCGAAAAGUGGUUUGCUUUUGAAAGAAAGUGUUAAAUGUGUUAGACUGGAUUUAACUUCAACACUGUUUGGAAUAUGCGUAGAUAAAGUGAAGGAGUAUAAUUAAAAGUGAUAAUAAAUCUGACACGCACAUAGAUAUGAUAAGGAUAUAUAGUUAUUGGUGAUAUUCAGAUUAGAUGUAAUAUUCAAGACAAUUUGAAAUUUUCAUAAAGAGAUGGAAUGUUGUUACUUGUGUGUUCGUUUCAUUCUAAUUAAUAUUUACUCAAACAGAACUAUCUGGAAUAUGAUUAUAUAAAAGGAAGAAAUAUAAUUAGUGAAUUUGAAAUAAUUGAUACUGGAAUGGAGCCUCUGAAAGCCUUUGAAGUUAUUGAUGCGUUUGUAUAAUUCAAAGGUGGAGAAAUAACAAUCAAUGUGCACGACAUCUUUCUCAAAUGGCUAUUAGAAAAGUUAACAUCAAUCUGUUUCGUCUGACAAUCAGUUGUCAUUGAUCAGAAUUGAAAAUAUCGCGAGGUUAUGGUAUGAAAUAUUACGUGCUUAUACUAUGUACUCAAACAGGAUGGAUUAAAUUUCCAAUGCAAUUAAGAUUACACAUAUAGAGAAUGAGCAUAAUUAUUUGUGAGAAGGUUUUAUAAUAACAAUAAUAAUAUAAUAUAUGUAUUUAAAUUGGAUUAAAAUUUUUCAACGGAGUUUGACUUAGAUCUAGUGAUAUGAUUAUUUGUGGGUUUAAUUAUAACUAUGUUUGUGAAUUCAAACUAGAUCUUACUGGAAUAUACGUAGCCAAAGCGAAGGAAUAUAGCUAUUUGUGAUAAUCUGGUCGGAUUAAUUCUGAACAAAAUUUGCAAUACGCAAGAAUAAUUGUCAGUACAAUUUGGAAUAUUCACAGACAUAAUGAAAAGAUGUAACUAUUGGUGAUAUUCUGACCGGAUUUAAUUUCAAUACAAUUCGGAAUAUUCAUACAUAUUGUGAAUGUAUAUUAUAAUUGAUGAUGACAAUGUUUCAUACAGGUUGAAUUGUGAAUAGCUAUAGUAAAGGAAUAUCAUUAUCGGGCCGUCGCCGGCUUCGAAAAUGUGGUCCGGCCAUGGGACGUCGAAGGCGUCCCGCGAGUGGCAAAGGCAGGAGAAGGGGAGAACAGGAGAGGAUGUUUCCUCCUCUCGUAAGGAGGUUGUGGAGGAUCUCCCCCAGGAAAUCUUAAGAUUUGGGAUGCCCAAUCAAUAUGGAGGACAGCUUUCGCCAAUACUUUCUGACAAGUUUUUAACUGUUUUCAAGCCUUUGAGUUUCACUAAAGAUGAAAGACGUGGCUGUGCUUUUGCAAUUAAGUGUAAUGAGUUAGAAUAUAUUAUAGAAAUUCGAAAAUAUAUAGCAAAAUAUUCUUGGAUAUAACUUUCAAUACCGUUUAGAAGACGGGAUAUAAAUGAAGGUGCUAUUUAAAUGGAUUUUAUUGUCAAUACAAUUUGGAAUGUGCAUCGCUAUGAUAAGGGAAUAUUCUUAUUAGUGAUGUUCAGAUUAGAUUAUUUUUUUUUAAGAAUUUUGGAAGUCAAUUAUUUUUAUUAUGCUUUAUUUUGAUUAAUGUUUGCUAAAAUCGAACUUAAUUAUUAAUGCAAUCUGGAAGAUACUUAGAUAUAGAGAAACAGUAUAAUUAUUGGUGAGUAUAUUUUGCAAUCAGAUUUAAUUUUUUCAACAUAAUUAAGAACACGGAAGGACAUGGUAAAAGAUAUAGUUAUUGGUUUUAUUAAAACUGGAUUCAAUUUUCAACAAAACUUGAAAUAUAUAUAUAAUAUAUUAUAGAGAUAAAAGAAGAGGAAUAUAAUAAUUGGUGAGAUUCAAAACGUAUUGAAUUAGCACUUCUUUCUAAAAUAUAUGUAUAUAUAAUGGAAUAUAAAAAGUUUUUUCUUUGUUUUUGUUGGGUUUAACGUCGCACCGACACAAUCAUAGGUCAAAUGGCGAUUUUGCAGCUAUGGUGGUGGAGAAAGACCCCAGGUGCCCCUCCGAGGGGUAUGUCAUUGUUCAAUUAAAGAACUGAAAUCACGUCGAAAUAAAAAAUAUUGUUUUUUGUAAUUCAUGAAUUUAUUGCAAAAAGAGUAAAAAAUAAAACUAAAAUAAAGAUAAUAGUCAUUGAUAAAAUAAAAAAUAUAUAUGUUUAAAUUGUGAAACUUUUGCUGAAGGCAGAUUUAAAUAAUAAAAAAUGUCAUCACAAUAAAGAACAUUACAUUUAAUAUUAACAACUGUUUAUUAAUGUAUGUCUUAUCAUUAUUCAAAAAUAAUAAAGACCAGUAUAUACAAUAUGCACAAUUAGGUGUUCCCGGCGAGUGAUUCGAUUGCUAUAAUCGGGCAGGGGUCCAUUAAAAAUGUUAACAUAUAAAUCAUAAACUUAAAAAAUGAGUAACAUGAUAAAACUUGUAUAGAUAGGUUAAUCAGCGUUCAGUUGAAAACAUCGUGUGAGUCAUAAUUAAAUUCACAUAAAUUUUAAGUCAAGCACAUGCUUAAGGCCCCACAGACCUUUGAUUUUCAUAAGAAGUAUAGCCGGAUUACUUCGACAAAAGCGGAAGAAGCUUUUUAAAGAGGUUGUUCCGUUUUGGCACACAUUAUGUCUAAAUGCCACAUAUAAAAUGCAACAUCCCUUGUUUACUGCGACUGUUUAGUUGUAUGAAAAACAAUCUAAUAUAGGGCCUCCAGAUUCUGAAAACCAAGUAACUUGAAAAGCAAGUAUGCUCUAUAAACAUGAUAAAUAUUUGUAAUUUUGACAGCUCUACGUUCUCAUCUUUUCAUUUUGCUAUUUCUAAAACUGUUUAUGCGUUAAUAUUUAUUUUAUAGACAAAAUAAUCAACGAAGUAUUUGUUUCAUCAAUUUUAGCAAAUAUUUACCUUUUCAGUAUCAGCGACAUGCAUCAUUGUAUACAUAUUUCCUGUCAGGUCAAAUUUGAAAAAUAAAUGCAUUAUGUUUUGUAUAAAUGUACGUGUUAAGCUGUCAAAACUUUAAUUCUUGCUGUGGGUGCCGUCUUGUAGCAAAAGAAAACACGCUUACUUCAGUAAGAAUUCUAGGUUCAGUUCAUAGAAGGACACCAUGACACAAAGAAUAGGUAGAUAUUUAUUCAUAUAAGAAUAAAGUAAGGACUAAUUCAUUAUUAUCUCAAGAUACAGGUAUCAUUGUUUUUCUUGGUCUGUUUUUGACUAGUUAAGUAUUGACUGGAAGGUCAAUAAAUCAAAAAAGAAAUCGCACCUCUACCACCAAACUUGCGUCAAAAAACUGCAAACAAACAAUAUUAUUCAAUAAAAAAUACUUACAAUUUUCACUUUUUAGGAGAAUAGAGUUUUAAUUUGUCUGCACUGCAAGCUAAUAAUAUCAAAUGAUAUCUUUAAAUAGAAGCCGGAUCGUAAUAUUAUUUUCUUUAAGAUGAGGAUUUGUCAUAUUUUGCCUUUUGCUGCUGAGGCGAUAAAAUUUUUUGGAGGUUUCAGGAUGUCCAGUUUUAUGACUUUAGGCAUAUUGUUAAUUUUAUUUCUGUAAAAUGUUGUUUAGAUUGGACACAUUUAAGAUUUGAUUGGGCGCAUUCAAGUUUUUCAUGGUAGUAAACGAGAGUGCGUGUUAAUUGUGUUAAGAAUUACUGUAUGUUUUCACUGGUUUUAGGUUAUUGUGCAGAAAUCUUUUUAAAGUUUUCCAGUUUCACAUAUUGCAAUAGGUUCUCUCCACACUCCAAAAUUGUUAAAAUGUACAAAACUGUCCGGCUUCAAAUACGAGAUAUAUUAUAAAAAUGAUAACGCUUUAAUUUGACAAAAUACAUCUUUGGUGAUUUCAUUUUCUAUGCCUGUGUUACAGACAAAUGACUAAUUUUCCUUUGUUAACAACUUAGUUAAUUCAAAAGCACAAUUAACGUGCUUUAGAUAUUUUAUCUAAUUGUAGAGAUGUAAGCAUUAAAAACAAACAUAAGCAAAAACAAUUCAUCUUUUGCAUGCAAACAUUCCUUACAUCUCCUGAAUUAGAAAUAAACUACACUACCGAAGCUUUUCAGAGUUUCAUAGCACGACAAUGGUAAAUAAUAACGAAACACAAAAUAACGACUUUUUCUCUCAUUUUAUACAACUUUCAUUCACGUUUGGUUUAUGAAAUGAUGAAAAAAUGCAGUGUCUCAGUAAAGAAAAUACAUUAAAAAAAAUUCAAAAG